GUAUGAAUGGCCACACGAGGGUUUUAUUGUCUCUUAUUUCCAAUCGGUGAAAUCGACCUUCCCGUGAAGAGGCGGGAAUAUGACAAUAAGACAAGAAGACCCUGUGGAGCUUUAAUUAACCGACCCAAAAAGAUCUUGUUAAUCAAACGACAAGGAUAACAUACCUCUACCAUGGGCCGAUAAUUGAGGUUGGGGUGACCUCCGAAAAUAAAACAACCUCCGAGUGAUUUAAAUCUAGACUAACUAGUCGAAAGUACUACAUCACUUAUUGAUCCAAAAACUUGAUCAACGGAACAAGUUACCCUAGGGAUAACAGCCCCCUCCUAUUUUAGAGUCCCUAUCAACAAUAGGGUUUACGACCUCCAUGUUGGA
This 372-nucleotide ribosomal RNA is filed under the name Panthera onca (jaguar). RNAcentral's name for it is "partial large subunit ribosomal RNA". It matches the Rfam family "Bacterial large subunit ribosomal RNA", at positions 1990 to 2536 of the family's 2925-position model. The record is from RNAcentral. Lineage: Eukaryota; Metazoa; Chordata; Mammalia; Carnivora; Felidae.